UCCUCCACAGAGGCCUGAUGACUUGAA
RNAcentral lists this non-coding RNA (27 nucleotides) under Mus musculus (house mouse). The record is from RNAcentral. Lineage: Eukaryota; Metazoa; Chordata; Mammalia; Rodentia; Muridae.